AGCUUGUUUAAUUUUAAGACAUUUACAAUAGUUUUGUUGUUAAGAAAGCCAGUCUUCUUCAAUAUCAGCAGAAUAAACAUAUGAAUGUAUGCAUCCCUGGAACAGAUUGAACACCAUUAGAUGAGGCUAGACCAGCAGUGCUUGUACUGUACUACUCGAGAUAGCUGCAAGAUCCAAGACCAGGGGACCAUGUCUCAGCUUCAGAGCAGGUGUGACCCCUGUCCUACUGUGUUGGCUGCUCAUCUUUGACACCUUGUAUCUUAAAAUAAAAUGCAAUAAACAUCUAUAGGAGUGUUUCAAGCACUCUUGGGGAAGAAAACCUCA
This is a non-coding RNA of Lonchura striata (white-rumped munia), 324 nucleotides long. NCBI's taxonomy places the organism in Eukaryota, Metazoa, Chordata, Aves, Passeriformes, Estrildidae. The record is from RefSeq and is a predicted model, not a curated record.